RNAcentral lists this ribosomal RNA (649 nucleotides) under Mycobacteroides abscessus. RNAcentral's name for it is "bacterial LSU rRNA". It matches the Rfam family "Bacterial large subunit ribosomal RNA", at positions 1651 to 2282 of the family's 2925-position model. Lineage: Bacteria; Bacillati; Actinomycetota; Actinomycetes; Mycobacteriales; Mycobacteriaceae. The record is from RNAcentral.
AAACCGACACAGGUGGUCAGGUAGAGAAUACUAAGGCGUACGAGAUAACUAUGGUUAAGGAACUCGGCAAAAUACCCUCGUAACUUCGGGAGAAGGGGGACCUCGCUUGGUGACCGGACUUGCUCCGUGAGCUGAACGAGGUCGCAGAGACCAGUGAGAAGCGACUGUUUACUAAAAACACAGGUCCGUGCGAAGUCGCAAGACGAUGUAUACGGACUGACGCCUGCCCGGUGCUGGAAGGUUAAGAGGACCCGUUAACCCUUGGGUGAAGCGGAGAAUUUAAGCCCCAGUAAACGGCGGUGGUAACUAUAACCAUCCUAAGGUAGCGAAAUUCCUUGUCGGGUAAGUUCCGACCUGCACGAAUGGCGUAACGACUUCUCAACUGUCUCAACCAUAGACUCGGCGAAAUUGCACUACGAGUAAAGAUGCUCGUUACGCGCGGCAGGACGAAAAGACCCCGGGACCUUCACUAUAGCUUGGUAUUGGCGUUUGGUUCGGUUUGUGUAGGAUAGGUGGGAGACUGUGAAGCAGGCACGCCAGUGUUUGUGGAGUCAUCGUUGAAAUACCACUCUGAUCGUAUUGAACCUCUAACCUCGGACCGUAUAUCCGGUCCAGGGACAGUGCCUGGUGGGUAGUUUAACUGGGGCGG